Molecule: ribosomal RNA, 671 nt
Filed under: uncultured fungus
Lineage: Eukaryota; Fungi
Description: eukaryotic LSU rRNA
Rfam family: Eukaryotic large subunit ribosomal RNA
Source: RNAcentral
CCCGCUGAACUUAAGCAUAUCAAUAAGCGGAGGAAAAGAAACUAACAAGGAUUCCCCUAGUAACUGCGAGUGAAGCGGGAAAAGCUCAAAUUUAAAAUCUGGCAGCCAUUUUACGGUUGUCCGAGUUGUAAUCUAGAGAAGUGCUUUCCGCGCUGGACCGUGUACAAGUCUCUUGGAAUAGAGCAUCAUAGAGGGUGAGAAUCCCGUCUUUGACACGGACUACCAGUGCUUUAUGUGAUGCGCUCUCAAAGAGUCGAGUUGUUUGGGAAUGCAGCUCAAAAUGGGUGGUGAACUCCAUCUAAAGCUAAAUAUUGGCGAGAGACCGAUAGCGAACAAGUACCGUGAGGGAAAGAUGAAAAGCACUUUGGAAAGAGAGUGAAACAGUACGUGAAAUUGUUGAAAGGGAAACGCUUGAAGUCAGUCGCGUCGUCCGAGACUCAGCCUCGCCUCGGCUUGGCGUACUUCUCGGCCCGACGGGUCAGCAUCAAUUUCGCCUCUCGGAUAAUGGCGAGGGAAAAGUGACACCUUUACGGUGUGUUAUAGUCUCUCGUCGCAUGCGAGGGUCGGGAUUGAGGGACUCAGCACGCGCCCUCGGGCGUCGGGGCUUUCGCCCACGAUACGUGCUUAGGAUGUUGGCGUAAUGGCUUUAAACGACCCGUCUUGAAACACGG